UACGUAGGGUGCAAGCGUUGUCCGGAAUUAUUGGGCGUAAAGGGCUCGUAGGCGGUCCAUCGCGUCGGGAGUGAAAAGCUGGGGCUUAACCCCAGUCCUGCUUCCGAUACGGGUGGACUAGAGGUAGGUAGGGGAGAUCGGAAUUCCUGGUGUAGCGGUGAAAUGCGCAGAUAUCAGGAGGAACACCGGUGGCGAAGGCGGCAUCCUGGACCGGUAUUGACGCUGAGGCGCGAAAGCCAGGGGAGCAAACGGG
RNAcentral lists this ribosomal RNA (253 nucleotides) under uncultured bacterium. Its description in RNAcentral is "partial 16S ribosomal RNA". It matches the Rfam family "Bacterial small subunit ribosomal RNA", at positions 524 to 776 of the family's 1533-position model. The record is from RNAcentral.